This is a long non-coding RNA of Mauremys mutica (yellowpond turtle), 3467 nucleotides long. RefSeq lists it as uncharacterized. The record is from RefSeq and is a predicted model, not a curated record. Lineage: Eukaryota; Metazoa; Chordata; Testudines; Geoemydidae. The transcript has 5 exons.
CACUUUGCCAAGUAGGCUCGGUGCAUGGAGGGUCGCCUGCUUUCCAAGAGGAUGCGUUGAACUCCUUCCGAGCAUGCCCUUUCCUCCCGGCCUAACCAUUGAGCAGCUACGCUGUGAAGUGGAGUGCCGCUAGGUUGGGGUUGAAGAGGUGGCCCUGAUCCUGGGAGAGCAGGUCCGGGCGGGACGGCAACGGCCACAGCAGGGCGACCACCAGGCUCGUGAGGGUCCCAUACCAAUGCUGCCUGGGCCACGCCGGGGCAACCAGGAGGACCCAGGCCCUGUCUGUCUUUAUCUUUUCCAGGACUUGCCUAUCAGUGGGAAUGGGGGGAAGGCAUAGAGGAACUGGCCCGACCAGGACAGGAGGAAGGCAUUGGAGAUAGCGCCCCGUUCCAGCCCCCCCCGAGGACAGCAACAGUUCUGACAAGUCGCAAACAGGUCCACCUGGGGAAUUUCCCACUCUCGGAAAGGUCUGUGCACCACCUCUGGGUAAAGAGACCACUCGUGCUGAGAGAAGUCCCUACUCAAGCAAGCCACCCGCAAGUUCCAGGUGGCCCAGAGUGGCACACGUGGACAGAAGGAGCGCCACAUGAUCCCGCACCUGCGACCGAGAGCUGCCCUUGACCAGCCAGUCGUCCAGAUAGGAGAAGAUCUGGACCCCACCAUGCCUGAGCUUGUGCACAUCUGAAGGAUACACAGACAAAUGGGCUUGCGCUUGCAAGUGCCUGUGGUGCAUAUUGAUAGAUUUGAGAAUAUCUCGCAGCUCGGGGGAGUCACCAGCAGAAAAGGUGAACGGAAAAGACGUCGCUCAGGUAAAUUACCAAUUUAGAAGUAACGUUAGAGGAUUUGUGUGUGUGUAAUGGGGUUAGGAACCGGGGUUGUGUAAAGCUAAAAACAAGCAAUGGGAACUUAUACUUGUUUCUUUUCUGAAAAUCUCUCAAUAGCUCAACAAUGCCUUUCUAUAGGACCCAGAUGCCCUGGACAGCAUAGUAUAAGGGCCCCACCAUCAAUCAAAUGUCAACCUCGCCCCUUGACCCCUUAAGCCCCGCCCAGCUGUCACCAAAAGUCCCAUCACUGGGGAUAUUACUUCCGGGGUCAAGCCAGACACUUGACCGGAAGCAAGCUGUGUCAUUUGACCCCUCUAAGAACUCUUCCCACUGCCUUCUACCAAUCAGGAGGUGUUUUGCACCCAUGGGACUGCCCCGAGAGAUUUGACCUAUCAGGGGAGCUCCAGGGCAAGGUGACCCAUCCGAAACUGGGUCGUGUGACCCCUCUAACAACUCCUCCCACUGAUCUCUGCCAUCAGAGUGCAGCACUAUCGCCCCAUAAGUCCCAGCGCCAGGCAGAAGAGGCCAUCUCUUACCAAGAACGCAUGUUUAAGAAAUCGUGGAAAGGCUAAGAGGAAACAUGAACUCCUUCACCAUCACAGGCUCAAACACACAUGGGGGGAAACAGAACAACCAUGUGCCAGCAACCCUUUAUCCUCUGGUAGAAGGCCCAAACACACAUGGGGGGAAACAGAACAACCAUGUGCCAGCAAUCCUUUGUCCUCCGGUAGAAUGUAACUUUCUGCAAUUGGCUUUAUUGAAAAGUAUUUUGUUGCAAACUCUUGGUUGUAAACUGCUGGGGUUUUAUGGCUGCAAACUCUUGGUAUGCAUGUUUAAAACUUACGGGUUUCUAUGCAAAAUGUUUUUUUAAAAGUUGGUUUUACAACAGUUUGGUUUUUAUUCUGCAAAAUGAGAUGUGUUUUUAAAAAUGUUUGUGGGUUGUUGUUUUUUUUAAGUGGUAGAAAUAAACUCAAAAGCUGUUCGUUGUACAGCCUGAAAUCGAUUAUUUUGUUUUAAAGCUGUGCCUUUUUAAAUAGAAAAACACUCUAAUGAGUAUUUUAUUUUUUAAGUUUACAAGACCGUUUCAUGUGUUUUAUAAUAAUAAUCUUGUCUGCUCCACAAGCUCAAAAGAAAAAGGAAAGAGACAGCGGCAAAGGAAAACUCACCAGCAUCAAUGACUGAUGGAUGGAUGAAGCCCACUAAAUAUAUUUUGCUUAUUGGUUUGGUUAUUUUAUGAGGUUGUGUAUUUUAAGUAAAUACAUAGGUGUGGGUGAGAAAGAUGGUAAAAUUAAGUUUUGGAAAAUGUUUUUUUCCCCCUAAUCAGGCAAGUGCAGCUCUCCUAAUGAUGCUGUAGUCGGAGCUACAGGGACACCUGCACCAGAACCGCCAAAGAACCAGGAAUCUGCUUUGAGACCUUUAGCAACGCCAGCACAAAACAGCACAAGAGUGCAGAUGAAGUAUCAGGACAGUUCAAUCCUCAUUUUUGUCAAACCCAAGGACAAAACAAAAGACUCUGGUAAAAACCAACCAGGCAAACACAGCUCCUGUUCCUCAGCGGCCACCACCACACCAAGUCCUGAGAAAACUGUGAGCGAAAACGCCCACAUUCACAAACCCGGAGCACGUGCUCUAGGGGUUGUGAAUAAAAAGGACUGACAAACCAUUCUCCCAACACCAUAAGCUCAUGACAGCUCCCCCAUAUUCUAGUAUUUGGGAAAAGUAUGAUGCCUCAUUCAGAAAACUGAUGGACUCUGUUCCUCAGGGGUUCUAAAAGAAAAGAGGGCUGGAAACUACAUCAAAAAUGCAAAAGCUCUGGCGGGUGACUUUUUGAAAAUACUUCAAUUUUUCCAAAGGGUGGCUCUGAGCAGGCAUGACUAUUCGUGGAAAUGGGCCUGGGUACAAGGGGCACCCUCAAGGGUACAUCCGCUCAGGUGUAAAGAAAAGGAGGGACAGUGCUUGGGGGAUAAACAGAUGGCUGCCAAAAAGUUCCAGGCCAGGGUCGCUGUAAAUUUUUUUUAAAAGACUGAAGAGGUAAUGAGGAAAAAACAAAACAAAAAGAUGCCCCCUACUGGAGGCUCUCAAACUGGCUCAUCUGAAAAUGGGGAGGUGGAAUCCGACCUGUGGGUGGUGGUGACUCUCACGCAGAGUCUGAUUUAGAAAAUUCCCCAGAAGGCUCUCUAGAUGAGUCCAGGGUGACUCCUGAUGACUCUCACGGAAGCCCCUCAGAGUCUGACUCUCAAAUAGCAUCUGAUGUAGAAGAUGCCGCUGAUGGUCCCAUAGAGGAACCCCCAAGUGACCUUGAAAAUGCAGGGGUGUAUAUGGAGAGAGUGAGACUCCGUGAGGGUCAUCAGAAGUAGACGGGACCCAUCUAGAGUGUUACUACCAGAACAAUUGUGACGUGAAAGUGGGGAUAGGGACAUGCUGAACCUGUGACAUAUGAGGGUGCCAGCUUGGAAGUGCUGUUCGACCCUGCCUGCUCAGGCUUACUCUAUUCUGGUACAGUACCUGUAGCAUAUAAGCUUAAGAGUAUGUCUACACUACAAGACUAUUUCGAAUCAACUUAAGUCGAAUUUGUGGAAUCGACCUUACGAAGUCGAAUUGUGUAUCCACACUAAAAACACUAAUUCGACUGUGUGAGUCCAC